This 555-nucleotide ribosomal RNA is filed under the name uncultured fungus. RNAcentral describes it as "eukaryotic LSU rRNA". The stretch from base 212 to 365 matches the Rfam family "5.8S ribosomal RNA". The record is from RNAcentral. Lineage: Eukaryota; Fungi.
GGAAGUAAAAGUCGUAACAAGGUUUCCGUAGGUGAACCUGCGGAAGGAUCAUUACAGAAAUAGGAGAAGGUUGCUUAACUGCAAUCCUUUUCUUUCUACACAUGUGUUUUUCUUUUUUUUGAAAACUUUGCUUUGGUGGGCCCACGGCCUGCCAGAGAUUAAACUCAACCAAAUUUUUAUUUAAUUGUCAACUUGAUUAACUAAUAGUCAAAACUUUCAACAACGGAUCCCUUGGUUCUCACAUCGAUGAAGAACGCAGCGAAAUGCGAUAAGUAAUAUGAAUUGCAGAUAUUCGUGAAUCAUCGAAUCUUUGAACGCACAUUGCGCCCUUUGGUAUUCCAAAGGGCAUGCCUGUUUGAGCGUCAUUUCUCCCUCAAACCUUCGGGUUUGGUGUUGCGCGAUACGCUGGGUUUGCUUGAAAGAAAGGCGGAGUAUAAACUAAUGGAUAGGUUUUUUUUUCCACUCAUUGGUACAAACUCCAAACAUUCUUCCAAAUUCGACCUCAAAUCAGGUAGGACUACCCGCUGAACUUAAGCAUAUCAAUAAGCGGAGGAA